Molecule: unclassified non-coding RNA, 339 nt
Filed under: soil metagenome
Description: partial contains 5.8S ribosomal RNA, internal transcribed spacer 2, and large subunit ribosomal RNA
Rfam family: 5.8S ribosomal RNA (bases 1-120)
Source: RNAcentral
GAUGAAGAACGCAGCGAAAUGCGAUACAUAGUGUGAAUUGCAGAAUUCAGUGAAUCAUCGAAUCUUUGAACGCACAUUGCACCUCUCGGUAUUCCGGGAGGUAUGCCUGUUCGAGCGUCAUUUGUACCCUCAAGCUCUGCUUGGUGUUGGGUGUUUGUUCCGCCUCUGUGUGUGAACUCGCCUCAAAACAAUUGGCAGCCGGCGUACUUGUUUCGGAGCGCAGCACAUUUUGCGAUCCAGAUCAACGUACAGCGGCAUCCAAGAAGCCUUAUUUAACGCUCUUGACCUCGGAUCAGGUAGGGAUACCCGCUGAACUUAAGCAUAUCAAUAAGCGGAGGA